RNAcentral lists this long non-coding RNA (243 nucleotides) under Malus domestica (apple). RNAcentral describes it as "long non-coding RNA (MDOM_LNC006697)". The record is from RNAcentral. Lineage: Eukaryota; Viridiplantae; Streptophyta; Magnoliopsida; Rosales; Rosaceae.
UGAGUAGAGGUGGACAUGGUUUGGUUCGGUGCAAUUUUGAGUGGAAUCGAAACCAAAACCAAAACAUUUUGCGGUUCGAUGUGAUGUUGUUUUGAAGCCAAAACCGAAAUGAAACCAAACUGUUUGGUUCGUUUCGGUGUGGUUCAAAUGGUUUCAAUUUGGUUUUUGAGAAAAGAUGUACAUUUUAAAAUUUACAAUUAUCUACGCAUAAGACGAUCUUAUUUUCUACACAAUGCGUUAAUU